Molecule: transfer RNA, 73 nt
Filed under: Canis lupus familiaris (dog)
Lineage: Eukaryota; Metazoa; Chordata; Mammalia; Carnivora; Canidae
Also listed under: 2 other names
Rfam family: tRNA
About the family: Transfer RNA (tRNA) molecules are approximately 80 nucleotides in length. Their secondary structure includes four short double-helical elements and three loops (D, anti-codon, and T loops). Further hydrogen bonds mediate the characteristic L-shaped molecular structure. tRNAs have two regions of fundamental functional importance: the anti-codon, which is responsible for specific mRNA codon recognition, and the 3' end, to which the tRNAs corresponding amino acid is attached (by aminoacyl-tRNA synthetases). tRNAs cope with the degeneracy of the genetic code in two manners: having more than one tRNA (with a specific anti-codon) for a particular amino acid; and 'wobble' base-pairing, i.e. permitting non-standard base-pairing at the 3rd anti-codon position.
Source: Rfam by way of RNAcentral
GCCUGGUGGGCUCAGUCGGUAGAGCAUGUUACUCUUGAUCUCAGGAUCAUGAGUUCAAGCCCCAAAUUGGGCA